Molecule: transfer RNA, 63 nt
Filed under: Diploderma splendidum
Lineage: Eukaryota; Metazoa; Chordata; Lepidosauria; Squamata; Agamidae
Description: tRNA-His
Rfam family: tRNA
About the family: Transfer RNA (tRNA) molecules are approximately 80 nucleotides in length. Their secondary structure includes four short double-helical elements and three loops (D, anti-codon, and T loops).
Source: RNAcentral
GCCAGGAUAGUUUAAUUAAACAUUAGGCUGUGACCCUAAAAACAGAGUCCGCUCUUCCUAGCC